Molecule: ribosomal RNA, 253 nt
Filed under: uncultured bacterium
Lineage: Bacteria
Description: partial 16S ribosomal RNA
Rfam family: Bacterial small subunit ribosomal RNA
Source: RNAcentral
GACGAACCGUCCAAACGUUAUUCGGAAUCACUGGGCUUACAGAGUUCGUAGGCGGUCUGGAAAGUUGGGUGUGAAAUCCCUCGGCUCAACCGAGGAACUGCGCUCAAAACUACCCGACUCGAGGGAGAUAGAGGAAAGCGGAACUGAUGGUGGAGCGGUGAAAUGCGUUGAUAUCAUCAGGAACACCGGUGGCGAAGGCGGCUCACUGGCCCGAUACUGACGCUGAUGCACGAAAGCGUGGGGAGCAAACAGG